RNAcentral lists this ribosomal RNA (465 nucleotides) under Vreelandella stevensii. RNAcentral describes it as "partial 16S ribosomal RNA". It matches the Rfam family "Bacterial small subunit ribosomal RNA", at positions 338 to 795 of the family's 1533-position model. Lineage: Bacteria; Pseudomonadati; Pseudomonadota; Gammaproteobacteria; Oceanospirillales; Halomonadaceae. The record is from RNAcentral.
CCUACGGGAGGCAGCAGUGGGGAAUAUUGGACAAUGGGGGCAACCCUGAUCCAGCCAUGCCGCGUGUGUGAAGAAGGCCCUCGGGUUGUAAAGCACUUUCAGUGAGGAAGAACGCCUGGUGGUUAAUACCCAUCAGGAAAGACAUCACUCACAGAAGAAGCACCGGCUAACUCCGUGCCAGCAGCCGCGGUAAUACGGAGGGUGCGAGCGUUAAUCGGAAUUACUGGGCGUAAAGCGCGCGUAGGUGGCUUGAUAAGCCGGUUGUGAAAGCCCCGGGCUCAACCUGGGAACGGCAUCCGGAACUGUCAAGCUAGAGUGCAGGAGAGGAAGGUAGAAUUCCCGGUGUAUCGGUGAAAUGCGUAGAGAUCGGGAGGAAUACCAGUGGCGAAGGCGGCCUUCUGGACUGACACUGACACUGAGGUGCGAAAGCGUGGGUAGCAAACAGGAUUAGAUACCCUUGUAGUC